UACGUAGGGGGCUAGCGUUGUCCGGAAUCAUUGGGCGUAAAGAGCGUGUAGGCGGCCCGGUAAGUCCGCUGUGAAAGUCGGGGGCUCAACCCUCGAAUGCCGGUGGAUACUGUCGGGCUAGAGUGCGGAAGAGGCGAGUGGAAUUCCUGGUGUAGCGGUGAAAUGCGCAGAUAUCGGGAGGAACACCAGUGGCGAAGGCGACUACCUGGCCUGUUCUUGACGCUGAGGCGCGAAAGCUAGGGGAGCAAACGGG
This 253-nucleotide ribosomal RNA is filed under the name uncultured bacterium. RNAcentral describes it as "partial 16S ribosomal RNA". It matches the Rfam family "Bacterial small subunit ribosomal RNA", at positions 524 to 776 of the family's 1533-position model. The record is from RNAcentral.